GACGUGGGAUGCAAGCGUUGUCCGGAUUUAUUGGGCGUAAAGAGUUCGUAGGUGGUUUGUUAAGUCUGAUGUUAAAGACUGGGGCUCAACCUCGGAAAUGCAUUGGAUACUGGCAGACUUGAGUGUGGUAGAGGCAAUCGGAAUUCCAGGUGUAGCGGUGAAAUGCGUAGAUAUCUGGAGGAACACCGAUGGCGAAGGCAGGUCUCUGGGCCACUACUGACGCUGAGAAGCGAAAGCAUGGGGAGCGAACAGGA
This 254-nucleotide ribosomal RNA is filed under the name uncultured bacterium. Its description in RNAcentral is "partial 16S ribosomal RNA". It matches the Rfam family "Bacterial small subunit ribosomal RNA", at positions 524 to 777 of the family's 1533-position model. The record is from RNAcentral.